CUAUAAUUGUCAGCUAAGUGGCGCACGGGUGAGUAAUGUAUAGAUAACCUGCCCUUAAGAAAGGAAUAACAGUUGGAAACGACUGCUAAUGCCCUAUAUGCCUUUAAUACAUAAGUAUGCAAGGGAAACGCUUUAGUGCUUAAGGAUGGGUCUGUAUGGUAUCAGCUUGUUGGUGAGGUAAUGGCUCACCAAGGCUAUGACGCCUAACUGGUUUGAGAGGAUGAUCAGUCACACUGGAACUGAGACACGGUCCAGACUCCUACGGGAGGCAGCAGUGGGGAAUAUUGCACAAUGGACGAAAGUCUGAUGCAGCAACGCCGCGUGGAGGAUGACACAUUUCGGUGCGUAAACUCCUUUUAUAUAGGAAGAUAAUGACGGUACUAUAUGAAUAAGCACCGGCUAACUCCGUGCCAGCAGCCGCGGUAAUACGGAGGGUGCAAGCGUUACUCGGAAUCACUGGGCGUAAAGAGCGUGUAGGCGGGUAUAUAAGUCAGAAGUGAAAUCCAAUAGCUCAACUAUUGAACUGCUUUUGAAACUGUAUACCUAGAAUGUGGGAGAGGUAGACGGAAUUUCUGGUGUAGGGGUAAAAUCCGUAGAGAUCAGAAGGAAUACCGAUUGCGAAGGCGAUCUACUGGAACAUUAUUGACGCUGAGACGCGAAAGCGUGGGGAGCAAACAGGAUUAGAUACCCUGGUAGUCCACGCCCUAAACGAUGUACACUAGUUGUUGUGAGGCUCGACCUUGCAGUAAUGCAGUUAACACAUUAAGUGUACCGCCUGGGGAGUACGGUCGCAAGAUUAA
RNAcentral lists this ribosomal RNA (800 nucleotides) under uncultured bacterium. Its description in RNAcentral is "bacterial SSU rRNA". It matches the Rfam family "Bacterial small subunit ribosomal RNA", at positions 78 to 897 of the family's 1533-position model. The record is from RNAcentral.